RNAcentral lists this ribosomal RNA (503 nucleotides) under uncultured bacterium. RNAcentral describes it as "partial 16S ribosomal RNA". It matches the Rfam family "Bacterial small subunit ribosomal RNA", at positions 30 to 523 of the family's 1533-position model. The record is from RNAcentral.
AUUGAACGCUGGCGGCAUGCCUUACACAUGCAAGUCGAACGGCAGCAUGGAGAGCUUGCUCUCUGAUGACGAGUGGCGAACGGGUGAGUAAAGCAUCGGAACGUACCGUGUAGUGGGGGAUAACGUAGCGAAAGUACGCUAAUACCGCAUACGCACUGAGGUGGCAAGCAGGGGAUCGUAAGACCUUGCGCUAUACGAGCGGCCGAUGUCAGAUUAGCUAGUUGGUAGGGUAAAGGCCUACCAAGGCGACGAUCUGUAGCGGGUCUGAGAGGAUGAUCCGCCACACUGGGACUGAGACACGGCCCAGACUCCUACGGGAGGCAGCAGUGGGGAAUUUUGGACAAUGGGGGCAACCCUGAUCCAGCCAUGCCGCGUGAGUGAAGAAGGCCUUCGGGUUGUAAAGCUCUUUCGGCCGGGAAGAAAUCGCACAGGCUAAUACCCUGUGUGGAUGACGGUACCGGCAUAAGAAGCACCGGCUAACUACGUGCCAGCAGCCGCCGUAA